This 990-nucleotide ribosomal RNA is filed under the name Lysinibacillus fusiformis. RNAcentral describes it as "bacterial SSU rRNA". It matches the Rfam family "Bacterial small subunit ribosomal RNA", at positions 36 to 1011 of the family's 1533-position model. Lineage: Bacteria; Bacillati; Bacillota; Bacilli; Caryophanales; Bacillaceae. The record is from RNAcentral.
UUCUUCCCGCUGUGAUACUGCAGUCGAGCGAACGAGAAGGAGCUUGCUCCUUCGACGUUAGCGGCGGACGGGUGAGUAACACGUGGGCACCUACCUUAUAGUUUGGGAUAACUCCGGGAAACCGGGGCUAAUACCGAAUAAUCUGUUUCACCUCAUGGUGAAACACUGAAAGACGGUUUCGGCUGUCGCUAUAGGAUGGGCCCGCGGCGCAUUAGCUAGUUGGUGAGGUAACGGCUCACCAAGGCGACGAUGCGUAGCCGACCUGAGAGGGUGAUCGGCCACACUGGGACUGAGACACGGCCCAGACUCCUACGGGAGGCAGCAGUAGGGAAUCUUCCACAAUGGGCGAAAGCCUGAUGGAGCAACGCCGCGUGAGUGAAGAAGGAUUUCGGUUCGUAAAACUCUGUUGUAAGGGAAGAACAAGUACAGUAGUAACUGGCUGUACCUUGACGGUACCUUAUUAGAAAGCCACGGCUAACUACGUGCCAGCAGCCGCGGUAAUACGUAGGUGGCAAGCGUUGUCCGGAAUUAUUGGGCGUAAAGCGCGCGCAGGUGGUUUCUUAAGUCUGAUGUGAAAGCCCACGGCUCAACCGUGGAGGGUCAUUGGAAACUGGGAGACUUGAGUGCAGAAGAGGAUAGUGGAAUUCCAAGUGUAGCGGUGAAAUGCGUAGAGAUUUGGAGGAACACCAGUGGCGAAGGCGACUAUCUCGUCUGUAACUGACACUGAGGCGCGAAAGCAUGGGGAGCAAACAGGAUCAGAUACCCUGCUAGUCCACGCCUGUAAACGAUGAGUGCUAAGUGUUGAAGGUGGCUUUCCGCCCCUCAGUGCUGCAGCUUACCGCAUUAAGCACUACGCCUCGCGAGUGACGACGCAGACUGCAAACUCAAAGUAUUAACCGCGCCCGCACAAUUCAGUGCACAAAGUGCUCAAUACGAUGCAGCGACGAACUUAACCAGCCUGCAUUCAGUUGAACACUGCUUAGCAUAAGU